RNAcentral lists this ribosomal RNA (468 nucleotides) under uncultured bacterium. RNAcentral's name for it is "partial 16S ribosomal RNA". It matches the Rfam family "Bacterial small subunit ribosomal RNA", at positions 28 to 507 of the family's 1533-position model. The record is from RNAcentral.
GACGAACGCUGGCGGCGUGCUUAACACAUGCAAGUCGAACGGAAAGGCCCUGCUUUCGCGGGGUGCUCGCGUGGCGAACGGGUGAGUAACACGUGAGUAACCUGCCCUUGACUUUGGGAUAACUUCAGGAAACUGGGGACAAUACCGGAUAGGAGCUCCUGCUGCAUGGUGGGGGUUGGAAAGUUUCGGCGGAUGGGGAUGGACUCGCGGCUUAUCAGCUUGUUGGUGGGGUAGUGGCUUACCAAGGCUUUGACGGGUAGUCGGCCUGAGAGGGUGGCCGGCCACAUUGGGACUGAGAGACGGCCCAGACUCCUACGGGAGGCAGCAGUGGAGAAUAUGGCACAAUGGGCGGGAGCCUGAUGCAGCAACGCCGCGUGCGGGAUGACGGCCUUCGUGUUGUAAACCGCUUUCGCCUGUGACGAAGCGUGAGUGACGGUAAUGGGUAAAGAAGCACCGGCUAACUACGUG